UACGGAGGGUGCAAGCGUUAAUCGGAAUUACUGGGCGUAAAGCGUACGUAGGCGGCUUGUUAAGCAAGAUGUGAAAUCCCCGGGCUCAACCUGGGAAUGGCAUUUUGAACUGGCAGGCUCGAGUUCUGAAGAGGGUGGUAGAAUUUCCAGUGUAGCGGUGAAAUGCGUAGAUAUUGGAAGGAACACCAGUGGCGAAGGCGGCUUCCUGGCCUGUUACUGACGCUGAGAUGCGAAAGCGUGGGGAGCGAACGGG
RNAcentral lists this ribosomal RNA (253 nucleotides) under uncultured microorganism. Its description in RNAcentral is "partial 16S ribosomal RNA". It matches the Rfam family "Bacterial small subunit ribosomal RNA", at positions 524 to 776 of the family's 1533-position model. The record is from RNAcentral.